RNAcentral lists this small nucleolar RNA (91 nucleotides) under Eremothecium cymbalariae DBVPG#7215. Lineage: Eukaryota; Fungi; Ascomycota; Saccharomycetes; Saccharomycetales; Saccharomycetaceae. The record is from RNAcentral.
UUUUAGUGAUGAUAAAACAUAAUUUAUUCAGUUCUGCUUCUGAACACAGAAAGAAGAUAACCUCAUUUACCAAAAGCUCAAAUUCUGAGAU